GGUUAAGCGACUAAGCGUACACGGUGGAUGCCCUGGCAGUCAGAGGCGAUGAAGGACGUGCUAAUCUGCGAUAAGCGCCGGUAAGGUGAUAUGAACCGUUAUAACCGGCGAUUUCCGAAUGGGGAAACCCAGUGUGAUUCGUCACACUAUCAUUAACUGAAUCCAUAGGUUAAUGAGGCGAACCGGGGGAACUGAAACAUCUAAGUACCCCGAGGAAAAGAAAUCAACCGAGAUUCCCCCAGUAGCGGCGAGCGAACGGGGAGGAGCCCAGAGCCUGAAUCAGCAUGUGUGUUAGUGGAAGCGUCUGGAAAGGCGCGCGAUACAGGGUGACAGCCCCGUACACAAAAGCGCAUGUGCUGUGAGCUCGAUGAGUAGGGCGGGACACGUGGUAUCCUGUCUGAAUAUGGGGGGACCAUCCUCCAAGGCUAAAUACUCCUGACUGACCGAUAGUGAACCAGUACCGUGAGGGAAAGGCGAAAAGAACCCCGGCGAGGGGAGUGAAAAAGAACCUGAAACCGUGUACGUACAAGCAGUGGGAGCACAGGUUUACCUGUGUGACUGCGUACCUUUUGUAUAAUGGGUCAGCGACUUAUAUUCUGUAGCAAGGUUAACCGUAUAGGGGAGCCGCAGGGAAACCGAGUCUUAAUUGGGCGUUAAGUUGCAGGGUAUAGACCCGAAACCCGGUGAUCUAGCCAUGGGCAGGUUGAAGGUUGGGUAACACUAACUGGAGGACCGAACCGACUAAUGUUGAAAAAUUAGCGGAUGACCUGUGGCUGGGGGUGAAAGGCCAAUCAAACCGGGAGAUAGCUGGUUCUCCCCGAAAGCUAUUUAGGUAGCGCCUCGUGAAUUCAUCUCCGGGGGUAGAGCACUGUUUCGGCUAGGGGGCCAUCCCGGCUUACCAACCCGAUGCAAACUGCGAAUACCGGAGAAUGUUAUCACGGGAGACACACGGCGGGUGCUAACGUCCGUCGUGAAGAGGGAAACAACCCAGACCGCCAGCUAAGGUCCCAAAGUCAUGGUUAAGUGGGAAACGAUGUGGGAAGGCCCAGACAGCCAGGAUGUUGGCUUAGAAGCAGCCAUCAUUUAAAGAAAGCGUAAUAGCUCACUGGUCGAGUCGGCCUGCGCGGAAGAUGUAACGGGGCUAAACCAUGCACCGAAGCUGCGGCAGCGACACUGUGUGUUGUUGGGUAGGGGAGCGUUCUGUAAGCCUGUGAAGGUGGCCUGUGAGGGUUGCUGGAGGUAUCAGAAGUGCGAAUGCUGACAUAAGUAACGAUAAAGCGGGUGAAAAGCCCGCUCGCCGGAAGACCAAGGGUUCCUGUCCAACGUUAAUCGGGGCAGGGUGAGUCGACCCCUAAGGCGAGGCCGAAAGGCGUAGUCGAUGGGAAACGGGUUAAUAUUCCCGUACUUGGUGUUACUGCGAAGGGGGGACGGAGAAGGCUAUGUUGGCCGGGCGACGGUUGUCCCGGUUUAAGCGUGUAGGUGUGUGUUCCAGGUAAAUCCGGUUCACUUUAACACUGAGGCGUGAUGACGAGGCACUACGGUGCUGAAGCAACAAAUGCCCUGCUUCCAGGAAAAGCCUCUAAGCAUCAGGUAACAUCAAAUCGUACCCCAAACCGACACAGGUGGUCAGGUAGAGAAUACCAAGGCGCUUGAGAGAACUCGGGUGAAGGAACUAGGCAAAAUGGUGCCGUAACUUCGGGAGAAGGCACGCUGACAUGUAGGUGAAGUGAUUUACUCAUGGAGCUGAAGUCAGUCGAAGAUACCAGCUGGCUGCAACUGUUUAUUAAAAACACAGCACUGUGCAAACACGAAAGUGGACGUAUACGGUGUGACGCCUGCCCGGUGCCGGAAGGUUAAUUGAUGGGGUCAGCGCAAGCGAAGCUCCUGAUCGAAGCCCCGGUAAACGGCGGCCGUAACUAUAACGGUCCUAAGGUAGCGAAAUUCCUUGUCGGGUAAGUUCCGACCUGCACGAAUGGCGUAAUGAUGGCCAGGCUGUCUCCACCCGAGACUCAGUGAAAUUGAACUCGCUGUGAAGAUGCAGUGUACCCGCGGCAAGACGGAAAGACCCCGUGAACCUUUACUAUAGCUUGACACUGAACAUUGAGCCUUGAUGUGUAGGAUAGGUGGGAGGCUUUGAAGCGUGGACGCCAGUCUGCGUGGAGCCGGCCUUGAAAUACCACCCUUUAAUGUUUGAUGUUCUAACGUGGACCCGUGAUCCGGGUUGCGGACAGUGUCUGGUGGGUAGUUUGACUGGGGCGGUCUCCUCCUAAAGAGUAACGGAGGAGCACGAAGGUUGGCUAAUCCUGGUCGGACAUCAGGAGGUUAGUGCAAUGGCAUAAGCCAGCUUGACUGCGAGCGUGACGGCGCGAGCAGGUGCGAAAGCAGGUCAUAGUGAUCCGGUGGUUCUGAAUGGAAGGGCCAUCGCUCAACGGAUAAAAGGUACUCCGGGGAUAACAGGCUGAUACCGCCCAAGAGUUCAUAUCGACGGCGGUGUUUGGCACCUCGAUGUCGGCUCAUCACAUCCUGGGGCUGAAGUAGGUCCCAAGGGUAUGGCUGUUCGCCAUUUAAAGUGGUACGCGAGCUGGGUUUAGAACGUCGUGAGACAGUUCGGUCCCUAUCUGCCGUGGGCGCUGGAGAACUGAGGGGGGCUGCUCCUAGUACGAGAGGACCGGAGUGGACGCAUCACUGGUGUUCGGGUUGUCAUGCCAAUGGCACUGCCCGGUAGCUAAAUGCGGAAGAGAUAAGUGCUGAAAGCAUCUAAGCACGAAACUUGCCCCGAGAUGAGUUCUCCCUGAGACUUAGAGUCUCCUGAAGGAACGUUGAAGACGACGACGUUGAUAGGCCGGGUGUGUAAGCGCAGCGAUGCGUUGAGCUAACCGGUACUAAUGAACCGUGAGGCUUAACCUU
RNAcentral lists this ribosomal RNA (2907 nucleotides) under Salmonella enterica subsp. enterica serovar Derby. RNAcentral's name for it is "23S ribosomal RNA". It matches the Rfam family "Bacterial large subunit ribosomal RNA". RNAcentral also lists the same sequence under 2 other names. The record is from RNAcentral. Lineage: Bacteria; Pseudomonadati; Pseudomonadota; Gammaproteobacteria; Enterobacterales; Enterobacteriaceae.